AAAAACUAGUAUUUUAAAGACUUUGCUUUUGCUAAAUGAUGAAAGGCCAAAAGUGCACGUCAAAGCUUUAUAGUGGAUUAAUGUAUUGUAAUGUACAAACCCAGUGAGGUAGACAAACUACAUAAUAACAAUCAAUCGAACAGGUUUCCCUAAAAAUGCCCCCUUUCUUAUUUCAGUAAAUACUAAAUCAACUGCCUCUAUUUCCUGACCCGAGACGAAGCGUUUGUUCCUAAAGGUCUCAGGGACGGAUUACGGAAUGUACCGUACUGUAGGAGGAACAAGCAGGUGAGUCCAAGCACCUUAACAGGGAAACACACCCCAAUAGGGUCAGCUGCAGGGUGGUGGUGGCUCCAGAGGAACCUGCUGCUGACCCGGGAGGCUCUGGAGGAGGUGCAUCACAUCGUUGCUCUAGAUGGUUUCUCUCUAACGUAGAGGUAACGUAUGACAGUUCAUUUUUCCAUCAUCAUCAUUAUAUAACUGCAGUUUAGCUCUUGGCUGCUGUCGCCCCCCCCCUCCCUCCCCUUGAGCCUGGACCUGCUCAAGGUUUCUUCCUGUUAAAAGGGUUUUUCUUCACCACUGUUGGUGGUUUAGGGCUCAGGCCCAGGUUUGUAGAGAUAUUAUACCAGACGCUAUCUAAACAAAGAUGGACUGAAUUAACUCAGUUAAUGAUAUCUGGUAAAUCAAGUAAAGACUCCUUUCCUUUCCAUCUUGUACUGGCCUUAGUCCUGGCCUUAGUCCUGGCCUUAGUCCUAGCCUUAGUCCUAGCCUUAGUUCUGGCCUUGGUCCUGGCCUUAGUCCUGGCCUUAGCCCUGGCCAUUCCCACACGAAGCGUUUGGUCCUAAAGGUCUCAGGGACGGAUUGCGGAAUGUACCGUACUGUAGGAGGAACAAGCAGGUGAGUCCAAGCACCUUAAAUACCUGACAGCAGGGGGCGGCAGGAGUGAGAGGGCCAAGGGUCAUCAACAAGCUAGCAGACGUCUAGCCGCUAGUUGUGGCUGCAAAGGACAGCGACCUCAUGGGGAAACACACCCCAAUAGGGUCAUCUGCAGGGUGGUAGUGGCUCCAGAGGAACCUGCUGCUGACCCGGGAGGCUCUGGAGGAGGUGCAUCACAUCGUUGCUCUAGAUGGUUUCUCUCUAACGUAGAGGUAACGUAUGACAGUUCAUUUUUCCAUCA
This 1174-nucleotide long non-coding RNA is filed under the name Takifugu rubripes (torafugu). RNAcentral's name for it is "lncRNA (ENSTRUG00000030442.1)". Lineage: Eukaryota; Metazoa; Chordata; Actinopteri; Tetraodontiformes; Tetraodontidae. The record is from RNAcentral.